CAAAAUGUAAAAGGUUCUUUCCAUUGACCGUAUAUUAAAAUGGACGUAGACUCUGGGUCUAGAAAGUGAAGUGAAUGAUCCAUUUAGAGUCAAAUAGACCAUAAAGCACUGCAGGUAUUGGGGCAUGGAUACUGUGUGAUUGACAGCUAGUAUUGGUUACAGGUCACUGGUUUAAGUGGGCGGGCAGUGUCCUUGGUCCCUCAGUCAGGCUCCACCCCCUUUCCUCCAAAUAUGGUUACUUCUGUUUUCAAAUAACCAAGAUGGCGCUGAACAACAUGUCAAAAAUGGAGGCUUCAAAAUGGCUGCUCACAAACCAAUGUGUGACAUCUUUUUUCUUGGUCCAUGUCCCGUCCUUCCACCAAGUUUAGUGGAAAUCAGCUUAUCAGUUUUUGUGUAAUCCUGCUGAUGAAUAAACAAACCAAUGGACAGGGGGCGCAACUACGUUCAAACCGUUUUGAAUGAACUGUGAUUAUUUGCAGGUUUCAUGAAUAAAGUCCAGUGAGGAUUAAUAUUUUCUCAUCUCUCCUCCAUCAGUCACACAACUGUCCUGAGUAUGAGAACGAUGCUGCUGCAGCACAGACAGAAGACACAGAGGAGCAGGAAGACCUGGUGUGAAGCAUCAGGUGCACUGUGAUUGGUUGAAUGUAUUUAGGAGGAACAGGAAGUUUCUCUCUUUCCAUCCCCUUUUGCAGCAGCAGCAGUUUGUGCAGCAUGACCUUUAGAGCAAGAGUAUUGUUGUGUUGUUUCUUUUCUUUUUCUUUUCUGAUGGGUCCAGUCGUCCAGUUUUUGCAGAUUUCUGUGAGCUUUAGUUCUGAUGUUGGUUUAGGUUACAUUUCAUUACAAGUCAUUUGGCUGACGCUUUUGUCCAAUUAGUACACUCAACAUUUACGAAGGGCCAUUCAGUAUCUUGCCAAGGACACUUCGGCAUGCAGACGGGGAAGACUGGGGUUUGAACCGGUAACCUUCUUGUUGGAGAACGACCACUCUACCCCCUAGUUCACACUGCCCUAGGUUGAAGGAAGAUUCUCAGAUCCUACGACCCUUUGUGGGUCUGUGUUUUGGGUUUUCCUUCUUUUGUCCAUAUUGCCAGCCUGUUGUUGAAGUUGUUGUCUUUUCUGCAAUAAAUUGAUUUUUUUUUUGCUGUUACCCUCUGAACUAUGUUGGACGUCUUGGUGAUGAGCCUUUGAGGCUGUGGUAACAUCUUGUGACUCAUCUCAUGUCUUAACAUGAUAUUAAUGUGGUUAUUACAUGGAUAAUGAAUUAUUAUGUAUCGUGAUUUUAUGAUUCUUCUUAAAUAAAAGGUUUUUGGUCUUUUGUUUUCA
Molecule: long non-coding RNA, 1322 nt
Organism: Pleuronectes platessa (European plaice)
Lineage: Eukaryota; Metazoa; Chordata; Actinopteri; Pleuronectiformes; Pleuronectidae
Exons: 2
Source: RefSeq, a predicted model, not a curated record